GGAUUAGAUACCCUGGUAGUCCACGCCGUAAACGAUGUCUACUAGCCGUUGGGGAACUUGAUUCCUUGGUGGCGCAGCUAACGCACUAAGUAGACCGCCUGGGGAGUACGGCCGCAAGGUUAAAACUCAAAUGAAUUGACGGGGGCCCGCACAAGCGGUGGAGCAUGUGGUUUAAUUCGAUGCAACGCGAAGAACCUUACCAGGCCUUGACAUCCUUGAAAGUUGGCAGAGAUGCCUUCGUGCCUUCGGGAAUCAAGUGACAGGUGCUGCAUGGCUGUCGUCAGCUCGUGCCG
RNAcentral lists this ribosomal RNA (293 nucleotides) under uncultured bacterium. RNAcentral describes it as "partial 16S ribosomal RNA". It matches the Rfam family "Bacterial small subunit ribosomal RNA", at positions 775 to 1067 of the family's 1533-position model. The record is from RNAcentral.